AUUGAACGCUGGCGGCAGGCCUAACACAUGCAAGUCGAACGGUAACAGGAAACAGCUUGCUGUUUCGCUGACGAGUGGCGGACGGGUGAGUAAUGUCUGGGAAACUGCCUGAUGGAGGGGGAUAACUACUGGAAACGGUAGCUAAUACCGCAUAACGUCGCAAGACCAAAGAGGGGGACCCUCGGGCCUCUUGCCAUCGGAUGUGCCCAGAUGGGAUUAGCUUGUUGGUGGGGUAACGGCUCACCAAGGCGACGAUCCCUAGCUGGUCUGAGAGGAUGACCAGCCACACUGGAACUGAGACACGGUCCAGUCUCCUACGGGAGGCAGCAGUGGGGAAUAUUGCACAAUGGGCGCAAGCCUGAUGCAGCCAUGCCGCGUGUAUGAAGAAGGCCUUCGGGUUGUAAAGUACUUUCAGCGGGGAGGAAGGGAGUAAAGUUAAUACCUUUGCUCAUUGACGUUACCCGCAGAAGAAGCACCGGCUAACUCCGUG
RNAcentral lists this ribosomal RNA (490 nucleotides) under uncultured bacterium. RNAcentral describes it as "partial 16S ribosomal RNA". It matches the Rfam family "Bacterial small subunit ribosomal RNA", at positions 30 to 507 of the family's 1533-position model. The record is from RNAcentral.